RNAcentral lists this long non-coding RNA (1209 nucleotides) under Camelus dromedarius (Arabian camel). RNAcentral describes it as "lncRNA (ENSCDRG00005020794.1)". The record is from RNAcentral. Lineage: Eukaryota; Metazoa; Chordata; Mammalia; Artiodactyla; Camelidae.
GGCGGGUUCCGCGGGCAGGUUGUGCGGGACCUGCCGGAGUUUGCGGGGGCGGGAGCGUCCUGGACUCCGCGUCCCCGGGCACCCCGCGCGCUGACCCGCAGGGGCUGGCAAGUGUCUGGUCCCGGCGCUGCCGGCGCUCAGGCUGCGCCCUGAGCCCGCAGGAAGCGGGCGUGUGCUGAGCGUCUGUGACCCUCGCGGCGGAAUAAACAGGAAGCGACGAGCACCCAGCCGGGCCACCCUGCUUUUGUUGUGCGGGCUGCGGGGCGCAGCGCGGAGGACGCUUCCUGGGACCCCAGCCGGCCGCCCCGGGGCCGGGCGCGCCCUGCCUUUCCUGACCGUCCUCCUCACAGGCAGGAGUGGUCACCUGUCCCAUUGGCCCUGGGGUCCCUCUGUCCCUCACUUGACGAGGAGGAGCCAUCCAGCCUCAGAGUGACCCUCGCUGGAUGCGGGGAGCUCAUCUCCUUGGAUGCAACCCCCUUUGAGGCCCAAGCACACCUGGAAACGUGCCUGGGAUUUGGAGCAGGUGGGCUUUUCUUCCCCGUGGGCCCUGCUUCUCUGUGGGGUCCACCACUGAGGCCCCGCAGGGCCUCCUGCUUUGGCUGGACAGUGCGUUUCCCGUUCUUCCCUGGCUCCUGCAGGGCCCCGCGGGUUCUGCUUCUAGGUGGGAGUGCCGUGGGGGGUCCAGCCCCGCAGCUCGGCGAGGUGGCGCACCCGAGACCCUGGGGCCCAGGUCCUGGCUCCGGUAAAAGCACAGGCCGGGGGUCUUGGCUGUCUCGCUGGCUGGAUGUCGGGCCUUCUCGUACUGUUUACCACAGAAGGAUGUGGCUUCUCAGCCCAGGACUUGGCUUUCCGGUUUCCGGUGACGGCGACUCCUGGCCUCUCCAUUUGUGGAAAGCCGUUGAAGUUCUACAUUUGUAACGUCAAACUGCUGUCUCCUGAUGGGACCAUUUUCAAGAACUGACAUCAGUUUUCAUACAGCUUAAAAGGUGAGUAAAACUUGAGACUCUCCCCUUUGGUAACGUUCCUGAAGCAGAGCUUGUCCCAGCAUUGACUGUUCUGGGAUGCUGUUCCUCUCAGGAAAGUGGUCCCAACUUCUGGGUGUAUAGACCAUCUCACCAGGGUGACUUUUUCACCACUGAUGGGGCAAACUUGCACAAUACCAGAUUAAAUGUGAUUUCUUUUUUUAAUAUGCCAGUAUGUUUACAGGGG